UUGUCUGCUCUGUUUCUUUGC
RNAcentral lists this non-coding RNA (21 nucleotides) under Arabidopsis thaliana (thale cress). Lineage: Eukaryota; Viridiplantae; Streptophyta; Magnoliopsida; Brassicales; Brassicaceae. The record is from RNAcentral.